This 480-nucleotide ribosomal RNA is filed under the name uncultured bacterium. Its description in RNAcentral is "partial 16S ribosomal RNA". It matches the Rfam family "Bacterial small subunit ribosomal RNA", at positions 28 to 507 of the family's 1533-position model. The record is from RNAcentral.
GACGAACGCUGGCGGCGUGCUUAACACAUGCAAGUCGAACGAUGAAGAAAAGAAUUGAAGCUUCGGCAGAAAUUCAUUUCGGAUUAGUGGCAGACGGGUGAGUAACGCGUGAGCAACCUACCUCUUACAAAGGGAUAGCCUCGGGAAACCGGGAUUAAUACCGUAUAACAUUGCGACGAAGCAUUUCGAUGCAAUCAAAGCUACGGCGGUAAGAGAUGGGCUCGCGUCCCAUUAACCAGAUGGUGAGGUAACGGCUCACCAUAGUAACGAUGGGUAACCGGCCUGAGAGGGUGAACGGUCACACUGGAACUGAGACACGGUCCAGACUCCUACGGGAGGCAGCAGUGGGGAAUAUUGCACAAUGGAGGGAACUCUGAUGCAGCGACGCCGCGUGAGUGAUGAAGGAAUUCGUUUCGUAAAACUCUGUUCUAUGGGAAGAAAAGGACUGUACCAUAGGAGAAAGCUCCGGCUAAAUACGUG